RNAcentral lists this ribosomal RNA (1552 nucleotides) under Eleutherodactylus sommeri. Its description in RNAcentral is "partial 16S ribosomal RNA". It matches the Rfam family "Bacterial large subunit ribosomal RNA", at positions 393 to 2925 of the family's 2925-position model. Lineage: Eukaryota; Metazoa; Chordata; Amphibia; Anura; Eleutherodactylidae. The record is from RNAcentral.
CCUAAACCCCAGCCCCAACUCAAUUUUAAUUACGCAAAUUUAACUAAAAUAUUUUCUCUAUUUAGUAAAGACGAUUAAAAAAUUAAUUGCAGCAAAACUUGUACCGUAAGGGAAAAAUGAAAUAAGCAUGAAAAAUUUUAAGCAUAAAAUAGUAGAGUUUAAACCUCGUACCUUUUGCAUCAUGGUUUAACUAGUCUAAUCAAGCAAAAAGAAUUUAAGUUUGUCUUCCCGAAAUCAAGUGAGCUACUUUAGGACAGCUUAACGAGCAAACCCGUCUCUGUCGCAAAAGAGUGGAGAGAUCUUAAAGUAGCAAUUAUAUAUUUAACGAACUUGACGAUAGCUGGUUAUUCAGGAAAAGAAUCUUAGUUCAACCUAAAGCUACUUCAAUCUUUGUAAAUACACACUUUAGAGUUAAUCAAGUAAGUCACAGCCUACUUGAAACAGGAUACAACCUCCACCCGCGGGUAAUAAUAUCUCUUCAUUAACUAAGUAGGCCUAAAAGCAGCCACCUUUAAAAAAGCGUCAAAGCUUAUCUUUAUAAUUCUUAUAAUCCCUAAAACCUGUUAAAACCCCUAAUCAGUACUGAAUGAUUCUAUAUUUUUAUAGAACUCCUUAUGUUAAAACUAGUAACAAGAAGUCCUCUUCUCUUUCUAUGUAAGUGUAAAUCAGACUAGAAAAACUACUGAUCCCUAACAACCUUAAACCCAAAUAAUAAACUUUCAAGAAAAACUUACUAACAUAUUUGUUAACCUUACACAAGAGCAUAAAAAGAAAGAUUAAAAGAAAAAGAAGGAACUCGGCAAACCCCUGAUUCCGCCUGUUUACCAAAAACAUCGCCUCCUGCUAAUCUAUAGGAGGUCCAGCCUGCCCAGUGACCUAGUUUAACGGCCGCGGUAUCCUAACCGUGCGAAGGUAGCGUAAUCACCUGUUUUUUAAUUGAAGACCUGUAUGAAAGGCAUCACGAGAAUCUAACUGUCUCCUUUUUCCAAUCAGUGAAACUAAUCUCCCUGUGAAAAAGCAGGGAUAUCUCUACAAGACGAGAAGACCCUUUGGAGCUUAAGACAAAAUAAUAUUUCGCACACUUAUUUAAUUCCUACUUCAACUAGCGUAAAUUUACAAGUCUUUGGUUGGGGCAACCGCGGAGUAAAAAAGAACCUCCAAGAUGAACGGAACUUUCCUAAAUAAAAAGCCACAACUUUAUCUAUCAACAUAUUGACAUUAUGACCCAAAAUUUUUUGAUUAUCGAACCAAGUUACCCUAGGGAUAACAGCGCAAUCCACUUUAAGAGUCCAUAUCGACAAGUGGGCUUACGACCUCGAUGUUGGAUCAAGGUAUCCCAGUGGUGCAGCCGCUACUAAAGGUUCGUUUGUUCAACGAUUAAAACCUCACGUGAUCUGAGUUCAGACCGGAGAAAUCCAGGUCAGUUUCUAUCUGUAAAGAGCUCUUUCCAGUACGAAAGGACAGAAAUAGCAUGGCCAAUUAAAUUUUUACGCCAUAAAAUAACUUAUGAUAUCCUCUUAAUUAGUUAUCUCCCACUUCCCUUAAAUCAAAG